Molecule: ribosomal RNA, 460 nt
Filed under: uncultured bacterium
Lineage: Bacteria
Description: partial 16S ribosomal RNA
Rfam family: Bacterial small subunit ribosomal RNA
Source: RNAcentral
CCUACGGGAGGCAGCAGUGAGGAAUAUUGGUCAAUGGGCGUAAGCCUGACCCAGCCACGUCGCGUGAGGGAUGAAGGUUCUCUGGAUCGUAAACCUCUUUUAUAAGGGAGUAAAGUGCGGGACGUGUCCCGUUUUGUAUGUACCUUAUGAAUAAGGAUCGGCUAACGCCGUUCCGGCAGCCGCGGUACUACGGAGGAUCCGAGCGUUGUCCGGAUUUAUUGGGUUUAAAGGGUGCGUAGGCGGCCUUUUAAGUCAGCGGGGAAAGUCUGUGGCUCAACCCUAGAAUGGCCGGUGAAACUGGGAGGCUUGAGUAUGUAUGAGGAAGGCGGAAUGCGUGGUGUAGCGGUGAAAUGCGUAGAUAUCACGCAGAACCCCGAUUGCGAAGGCAGCCUGCUGGGCCGUGACUGACGCUGAUGCACGAAAGCGUGGGGAUCAAACAGGAUUAGAUACCCGGGUAGUC